AUACCUUUCUCGGCAUUUUGGCUAAUAUCAAGUGUAGUAUCUGUUCUUAUCAGUUUAAUAUUUGAUAUGUGGGUCAAUGGUCUAUAUGAUAUUAAAUUAUUUUUUUAAAGGGGAGAGGCUAU
Molecule: non-coding RNA, 122 nt
Organism: Lupinus albus (white lupine)
Lineage: Eukaryota; Viridiplantae; Streptophyta; Magnoliopsida; Fabales; Fabaceae
Source: the annotation of a GenBank genome assembly